This 84-nucleotide non-coding RNA is filed under the name unclassified sequences. The record is from RNAcentral.
UGACUUUUGUCGCCGGAUAAAAGAUAUAACAUCAAAUACUCUAUCGUAGGCCAUUGAAGGUAGAGUGUUUGAUGUUUUUUUAUU